UAUUAACGAACUGCACUCUGAAAGAAGAGGAUCAACUUGAUCUCUCAUUUUCAAAAGGAAUAUGAAUAUUCUGGGGUUUCUUCUCAUUUCAUGGCUAUGCAUCACCAUAGGAAUCAGGGCAGAACCUUCAGUGGACCAGUAUGGGUUGAAGGGGGAUUCAAUAUGUCUGGUUGUUGCAGAACCUCCUGAGAUGAUCAACGGAGUUCAGUGGAGGAAGGACAAUGAUGUAAUAUUUGGAGACCAAGAGAUCUCUCCUAAAUACAAGGAGAAGGUGGACUAUAACAAUGAUAACCAUUCUCUGUGUAUUAAGAAUCUAAUGGAAACUGACAGUGGAAUUUACAUGGUAAACUACAGGAAACAUUGGAAACAAUCAACUACUACAUAUAGACUGUUAGUGGAGGAUCAUGUUCCCGAACCAGUCAUGGAUGUCACAUCUCUCUUCAACACAAGUGUGGGUUGCUGUGAUGUCACAGUGAACUGUUCAGUUAAAGAUGGCUGGAUGUUGUCUGUCUGUGACAGCGGUCAGUGUACACUGUCACAACAGUCUCCGUCACUAACCGGUGGUAACAUGACCAUCUCCGUAUUGACUGGAAGGAUCCAAUGCAC
Oncorhynchus nerka (sockeye salmon) is the source of this 606-nucleotide long non-coding RNA. RefSeq lists it as uncharacterized. The transcript has 3 exons. The record is from RefSeq and is a predicted model, not a curated record. NCBI's taxonomy places the organism in Eukaryota, Metazoa, Chordata, Actinopteri, Salmoniformes, Salmonidae.